RNAcentral lists this non-coding RNA (23 nucleotides) under Arabidopsis thaliana (thale cress). The record is from RNAcentral. Lineage: Eukaryota; Viridiplantae; Streptophyta; Magnoliopsida; Brassicales; Brassicaceae.
UGCGUAGCAUGGGUGUUCAUCUA